GGCCGACUAGCUCAGUUGGUUAGAGCGUCGUGCUAAUAUAUCUCAUAUUAACGCGAAGGUCUUGGGUUCGAUCCCCACGUUGGCCA
Molecule: non-coding RNA, 86 nt
Organism: Armillaria novae-zelandiae
Lineage: Eukaryota; Fungi; Basidiomycota; Agaricomycetes; Agaricales; Physalacriaceae
Source: the annotation of a GenBank genome assembly